UAAUUAUUGAAUUUUAUUGCAGCUUUUAUAUCUUAUUAAUACCUAACCGUGGUUUGCUCCACAAUAUCUCCUCUGUACCUUAACCCUUAUUCCCACAAUUAAAUUGAAUACAAUAUAGCGUUUAUAAAAAACGACCGUUUUUAUACCGGCGAGGUAAAAGCAACAGGACAGCCUAAAAUCGAAAUAGGACUAUUAAAACACCAAUUAUUUGCACAGCCCCCAAAAAAACUUAUUUGUAAUUAUGCGACGUAUUUCUCGUUAUUACCUGCUAUUUUUAUUAUUUUGUUGCGACGCAGAACGUGUUUAGCGUAUUACGGCCAUUGCUUUUCCUCGACGUAUUUUACCAACCGGCGGACAUACCAAAUAAUCCUAUAAAUGCCAAUUAUAUUGCUGGUAUUGCCAAUUGUAAAUUCCGUUUAUAAUAUUGUCUUACCACCGUCGCAGCCCUCCUUUGUAAAUUGGUGGUAGGGGAAAUUAUCCCUUUUAAAAUAAUAUUUAAAGGUUAAGGCCCGAAUCGUCCACAAAUUUUUAUAUUUCCAAAAUGUUACGCCAAUUUAACCAAAUAUAAUGUAUUUCCACCGUUUUUUAAAUAUUACGUACAGCCCAUUUUCCACCUUUUUGCUGUUUAAUACCCAAUUCCGGGGCAAGGUAUAUUAUUUGCGAUUGUUGGAACGUCUGGUUUUAUCCACCAUGUCCAAUUCGAAAAAAAAGGCGAAAAUUUUUUAUAAACCGGAAAUACCUUUUACCGAUAAUAAAUUAAAGACGGGCCGAAACCAGGACCUUUUGUCGGAAAGUACAAUAUCGGUUUUAAACACCGCUCCAAUAUGGACUGUCUGAGGAAAUAUUGCUGUUUAGCUAUAUUAAAUUGGAAUUCUUAUUUAAAACGUUCCGUGUAAUUUAUUUUAUAAUUUUAUUUAAAGGUAUAAAUCGCGCAAAACAGUGAUAAAAUUGUUAAAAGCUUUUUAUCCCCAAUCCUAUAUUUCCCCUGCCAACCGUUCCUUCUCGUUUGCAAAACCAUUAAAUACCGAUUUAAUUUUUAAAUUAUAACAGCCAAACCGUAUAUAUGCGUUAAUAAUCGCGUUAUUCCAUCGUUUGUUAUUUUUCGCUAAUUAACGGAAACCUGUUAUAACAAUUUUAUAUGUUUUUAAUCCAUUUUCGGUCCAAACCCCAAACGUAUAAAAAUUUUGCAGCGACCUGUAAGUUUUUUUAUAUUUAUUAAUGGUAUAUUAAAACUGUGCUGCAAUUAUAAAUUUGGUUAAAAAGUAAAUUAUAUCGAUUUCGCAGCAAGGAAAAAAUAAGCAAAACCUCCUAAAAAUCUUAAAUUAUUUCGCCAAUCGUUUUAAAGCGGUUGUAAACUUUUUUUUAAAAUUAUGGUUUUGGCCAUUAGAUUAUCGGUUGGUUUUUUGUGGUUUCGGCAAUAAUAUCUUUAUUGGGAGUUGCACCAAAAGGAAAGCGAUCCGCGUAUCCGAAUAAUGUUGGACCGAUUAUAUUAUAAAUAUAAUCGCCAAUGGUUAAAUUGCACAAAUACGUUAAAAUAUACCGUUAAACGAAAACGUUUACCUGGGCUGGUAAAAACUUUUUUGCAACCAGGCAAAAUAUAAGGACAAUAACGUAAAUACCACAAUUAUGUAAGUUUUCCUGCCGGGUACAAAAGGUUUUAUAAUAUUUUAUUUAUUCGGGUUUUAAUAUGGAUAUAUUGGCAAUUGGUGUUGGAUUAACCUCCGUAUAUGGUUGAAAAAUGUUUUUGGGAUGGGUAAUGUAAAAUCUUUAAAAAAAUCGUAAAAAAUGGCGUAUUUGGUGCCAAAUUCCAAUACAGGGAGGGCCCUGUAAUUUUCCAAAUGGAAAAUGCAUAUAAUCUUAUUUUCGGUUAAUUUUCCACACCAUAUUUGCUGGCUGGUACUGGUUUUGGUAAUUUUUUGAAAUAUAUAAAGGGUGGGAAGUAGUUGUUAACCGUAACAAAAAACGAACUGAGCGUUGCACCCAUGGUAAAUAACGCACUAAUAUAAUUAUCGUUUAACCGACCUUUUAAAAAUACCAAAUCGGCCAUAUCGUCUGCUGUUAAAAAUUACCAAAGCAACCUGCUGGUUGGACCGCGUAAGGCAAUACGGCUGCUAGGCCUUAUAUGCUCCGAAAUGCGUAACGUCUUUAUACCUAAAUUGGCAAAAGGCCGGUUUGUCCAACAAAUUGGCGAUGGGCUAUCGGCGACGACAACGUCUUUGUUUGCAUCGGAACCGGGUGCACCGGAACCGAGAAAAUACGUUCGAGACCGGUAUAAAAUUAGGCGGCGGCUAUCGGAAUGCGCCGGCUCGACAUUUGCAACCGUAUUUGAUAUUUGGGGUAAAUGGGGAUCGGUGGGAGCAAAAUCUGAUCCGAUCGUCGUAUUGGCAGCGGAUUAUCGCAUCUUUGGGGGUUCAACCUACGCUUGGUCGCGCAGGUAAUAUUUUUCCGAAUGCGUUUGGCGGGAGGGUUUCCAUUAUCGCGGCGGUACCUUAUGGCAGACGACGGUGCGGCCGAAAACGGGUUCGCAUCGGGGGAGGUAUCGGUCUCAGGUCCAAGCCAUUUGUUAAACUUUUGGUGGCAAAGUUAGUCGUGCAUUUUUGGGGCGUCGCUUAAAGCAAACAUAUUUGACAUUGGCUCCCAGGUCGCUGCAUUGCCCUUAUACCCAACCCAAUAUAUUAACAGCUGUGGGAAUUUGCCUAAUUUGUGAUAAAAUAUUUUGAAAAUGCGGAAUAUAUUGCAUUUGAUAAUUCUUUCCCGAAUUUAGUUGAAUGACGCCCAGAAUUUGAUGAUUAUUGCCUUAUCCCGGCGUUGCAUCUCUUCCUCAGGUACCUCCCUGCCAUUUUUGCCUUAAAUAAUAAACUUGACGGUGGUCCGUUAAUUGUUGAUUGCCCAAUUGUCGAUUGUCUCGUCGUUAUCACUGUUCUUACCUGCAUCGUCUUUCUAAUUAAAAUUUGCGAUUAUUGUUAGAAAGGGUCUAGGCUAUUUUAAAGCGUAAUAAUGUUAAAUAAACUACCUACGUUGCUGCAUAAUCGCGGCUAUGUGGGAUAUAGCCACUGAUCGAACGCGGGUCGCAUUUAACGUGGACGAAUGCGAAGGUUUGCGUGGUUUGCGUGGUGGUUGAUUCAGAUGACAAAAAGCGAUUGUUUGCGCAGUCGACGCGUUAACGCGUUCGGUGGUAUGCGCUGCGUAAUAUUAGCAAAGGGAGACGAAUGGCCAGGUUACCCCGCCCCAAAGGGCAAUUUUUCGGGCGUAAAUAGGAUUAAUUAUAUCGAUUUAAUUGGAUAGGGAACGGUUAAUAAGACUAAAAUUAUUUAA
RNAcentral lists this small RNA (3315 nucleotides) under Pyricularia oryzae. RNAcentral's name for it is "Magnaporthe oryzae sRNA M_BR32_EuGene_00104181". Lineage: Eukaryota; Fungi; Ascomycota; Sordariomycetes; Magnaporthales; Pyriculariaceae. The record is from RNAcentral.